GUGGGGAAUAUUGGACAAUGGGCGCAAGCCUGAUCCAGCAAUGCCGCGUGGGUGAAGAAGGUCUUCGGAUCGUAAAGCCCUUUCGACAGGGACGAUGAUGACGGUACCUGUAGAAGAAGCCCCGGCUAACUUCGUGCCAGCAGCCGCGGUAAUACGAAGGGGGCUAGCGUUACUCGGAAUUACUGGGCGUAAAGGGCGCGUAGGCGGCUCUGUUAGUCAGGCGUGAAAUUCCUGGGCUUAACCUGGGGACUGCGCUUGAUACUGCAGGGCUUGAGGCCGAGAGAGGGUGGUGGAAUUCCCAGUGUAGAGGUGAAAUUCGUAGAUAUUGGGAAGAACACCGGUGGCGAAGGCGACCACCUGGCUCGGUUCUGACGCUGAGGCGCGAAAGCUAGGGGAGCGAACGGGAUUAGAAACCCGUGUAGUCC
Molecule: ribosomal RNA, 425 nt
Filed under: uncultured bacterium
Lineage: Bacteria
Description: partial 16S ribosomal RNA
Rfam family: Bacterial small subunit ribosomal RNA
Source: RNAcentral